GACGAACGCUGGCGGCGUGCCUAAUACAUGCAAGUCGAACGCAUUUUCUUUCACCGUAGCUUGCUACACCGAAAGAAAAUGAGUGGCGAACGGGUGAGUAACACGUGGGUAACCUGCCCAUCAGCGGGGGAUAACACUUGGAAACAGGUGCUAAUACCGCAUAAUUCCAUUUACCGCAUGGUAGAUGGAUGAAAGGCGCUUUUGCGUCACUGAUGGAUGGACCCGCGGUGCAUUAGCUAGUUGGUGGGGUAACGGCCUACCAAGGCUGCGAUGCAUAGCCGACCUGAGAGGGUGAUCGACCACACUGGGACUGAGACACGGCCCAGACUCCUACGGGAGGCAGCAGUAGGGAAUCUUCGGCAAUGGACGCAAGUCUGACCGAGCAACGCCGCGUGAGUGAAGAAGGUUUUCGGAUCGUAAAACUCUGUUGUUAGAGAAGAACAAGGAUGAGAGUGGAAAGUUCAUCCCUUGACGGUAUCUAACCAGAAAGCCACGGCUAACUACGUG
This 507-nucleotide ribosomal RNA is filed under the name uncultured bacterium. Its description in RNAcentral is "partial 16S ribosomal RNA". It matches the Rfam family "Bacterial small subunit ribosomal RNA", at positions 28 to 507 of the family's 1533-position model. The record is from RNAcentral.